AGCGAACGCUGGCGGCAGGCUUAACACAUGCAAGUCGAGCGGGCAUCCUUGUGGUGUCAGCGGCAGACGGGUGAGUAACGCGUGGGAACGUGCCCUUCGGUUCGGAAUAACUCAGGGAAACUUGAGCUAAUACCGGAUACGUGCGAGAGCAGAAAGGUUUAUCUGCCGAAGGAUCGGCCCGCGUCUGAUUAGCUAGUUGGUGAGGUUACGGCUCACCAAGGCGACGAUCAGUAGCUGGUCUGAGAGGAUGAUCAGCCACACUGGGACUGAGACACGGCCCAGACUCCUACGGGAGGCAGCAGUGGGGAAUAUUGGACAAUGGGGGCAACCCUGAUCCAGCCAUGCCGCGUGAGUGAUGACGGCCUUAGGGUUGUAAAGCUCUUUUCUCCGGGACGAUAAUGACGGUACCGGAGGAAUAAGCCCCGGCCAACUUCGUG
RNAcentral lists this ribosomal RNA (437 nucleotides) under uncultured bacterium. Its description in RNAcentral is "partial 16S ribosomal RNA". It matches the Rfam family "Bacterial small subunit ribosomal RNA", at positions 29 to 507 of the family's 1533-position model. The record is from RNAcentral.